This 464-nucleotide ribosomal RNA is filed under the name uncultured bacterium. Its description in RNAcentral is "SSU rRNA". It matches the Rfam family "Bacterial small subunit ribosomal RNA", at positions 26 to 518 of the family's 1533-position model. The record is from RNAcentral.
AGGACUAACGCUGGCGGCGUGCCUAACACAUGCAAGUCGAACGGGGUAGCAAUACCCAGUGGCAGACGGGUGAGUAACACGUGGUCAACCUACCUCUGUGUGGGGGAUAACUAGCCGAAAGGUUAGCUAAUACCGCAUACGAUCGUUUUGAGGCAUCUCGAGACGAUGAAAGGAGCAAUCCGCACGGAGAGGGGACUGCGUCCCAUUAGUUAGUCGGUGGGUAACGGCCUACCAAGACUCCGAUGGGUAGCUGGCUUGAGAGAGCGACCAGCCACACUGGAACUGAGAAACGGUCCAGACUCCUACGGGAGGCAGCAGUGAGGAAUUUUCCGCAAUGGGCGAAAGCCUGACGGAACGACGCCGCGUGUGGGAUGAAGGCCUUCGGGUCGUAAACCACUGUCGAAGGGGACGAUAAUGACGGUACCCUUGGAGGAAGCCCCGGCUAACUACGUGCCAGCAGCCGC